Molecule: long non-coding RNA, 1044 nt
Organism: Oncorhynchus tshawytscha (Chinook salmon)
Lineage: Eukaryota; Metazoa; Chordata; Actinopteri; Salmoniformes; Salmonidae
Source: Ensembl
AGAAACCUUGACAGCAGAGUGACUGACAUUCCAUACAGACAAGAGGCUUGAACAACAGCAGCAUAUAGACAGCUAACACAUUAACACAGGUAAUCCCCUGGAAAGGCACAACAUGUAAUCUACUUAUAUCAACUUCUGUCCCGUCUGUCAAGAAAUCAGCUGAAAUGUCAUUGUUUUUAUUCAGUCCCCCUCCUUUGAUUCUAUCUUCAUCUAUCUAUGCUGUUUGGGUCCAACGUGUGUCCUUAUGACAAAGCAUCAUUAAGUUCAUUAUCUAAGGUGUGUUAUCUUCAGUUUCUAACUCAAUAAGACUUGAUGCAGGUUGAUAUGACUAUAAAGAGACAUGCAACAUUAUAAUCUCUACAAUCAAAAUGACACAUUAAAGGUGUUCAAUUCCAAAUACUUGCUAUUGACGUUUCGUUAUCUGUAUCCACUGUGUCUUUUCUCCUACAUAUAUUGUUUUUACUAACAGACUGAAACUGUGAUUAUGGAUCCUAGUGUUUAGCAGAGAUAAAUCAUUACAAUGUCUGUCCUUUGUUUAAGUCUACCUUCAUGACCCAAGAGAAACAAGAGAAAGGGUGUGCCACAUCAUACAUUUGUCUGUGAGCUGGACUGUACAUGUCUUUUUUUUCUUUUUAUACAUGAAAGAACAUAAGUAUCCUUAAGUAGGAAGCCUCCAUAGAGUUGUUGUUAAGCAUGUUAUGUGUGGUCAUACAGCUGUUUGUUGGUCACUGUGAAAGAGGAGCAUAGAGAACAUACUAGAAUACCACUGGAGCUCAGGCUGCUGCUGAGGGGAGAACGGCUCAUAAUAAUGUCCGGAACGGCGCCGAUGGAAUGGCAUCAAACACCUGGAAAUCAUGUGUUUGGUGUAUUUGAUACCAUUCCACCUACGCCUCUCCAGCCAUUACCACGAGCCCAUUCUCCUCAAUUAAUGUGUGACCAACCUCCUGUGCACUGGAGUCAUACAUGUCAUAUGGAUGACAAGUCAGGUCAUAUUGAAGGGCAGAGAAUGUUCCCAUUGCAUUCAAUGUGUUCAAACAAUAAAAC